CCUACGGGCGGCAGCAGUGGGGAAUAUUGCACAAUGGGGGGAACCUUGAUGCAGCAACGCCGCGUGGGUGAAGAAGUACUCCGGUAUGUAAAGCCCUGUCAGCAGGGAAGAAAAUGACGGUACCUGACCAAGAAGCCCCGGCUAACUACGUGCCAGCAGCCGCGGUAAUACGUAGGGGGCAAGCGUGAUCCGGAUUUACUGGGUGUAAAGGGAGCGUAGACGGCAAGGCAAGUCUGGAGUGAAAGCCCGUGGCCCAAACACGGGACUGCUUUGGAAACUGUGUUGCUGGAGUGCAGGAGGGGUAAGCGGAAGUCCUGGGGUAGCGGGGAAAUGCGGAGAAAGUAGGAGGAAAACCGGGGGCGAAGGCGGCUUACUGGACUGGAACUGACGGUGAGGCUUGAAGGGGUGGGGAGCAAACAGGAUUAGAUACCCGAGUAGUC
RNAcentral lists this ribosomal RNA (440 nucleotides) under uncultured bacterium. Its description in RNAcentral is "partial 16S ribosomal RNA". It matches the Rfam family "Bacterial small subunit ribosomal RNA", at positions 338 to 795 of the family's 1533-position model. The record is from RNAcentral.